UAGGGAAUAUUAGAAAUGGCCGAAAGUCUGAUCUAGCAACACCGCGUGUGCGAUGAAGGCCCUCGGGUCGUAAAGCACUUUUUGGAAGGAAUAGGAAGGAAUGUACUUCCAGAAUAAGUCUCGGCUAACUACGUGCCAGCAGCCGCGGUAACACGUAGGAGGCAAACGUUAUCCGGAUUUACUGGGCGUAAAGCGCGUGUAGGUGGUACUGUAAGUAGGGCGUGAAAGCUCCUGGCUCAACUGGGAGAGGCCGUUCUAAACUACAGAACUAGAGGAUGGUAGAGGGAGGUGGAAUUCCAGGUGUAGCGGUGGAAUGCGCAGAUAUCUGGAGGAACACCGGUGGCGAAGGCGGCCUCCUGGACCAUUCCUGACACUCAGACGCGAAAGCUAGGGUAGCAAACGG
This 403-nucleotide ribosomal RNA is filed under the name uncultured bacterium. RNAcentral describes it as "bacterial SSU rRNA". It matches the Rfam family "Bacterial small subunit ribosomal RNA", at positions 355 to 775 of the family's 1533-position model. The record is from RNAcentral.